CGCGCAGGCGGCCUGGUAAGUCAGAUGUGAAAGCCCGGGGCUUAACCCCGGAAGUGCAUUUGGAACUAUCAGGCUUGAGUAUGGGAGAGGGAAGUGGAAUUCCUGGUGUAGAGGUGAAAUUCGUAGAUAUCAGGAGGAACACCGGUGGCGAAGGCGGCUUCCUGGACCAAUACUGACGCUGAGGUGCGAAGGCGUGGGGAGCAAACAGGAUUAGAUACCCUGGUAGUCC
Molecule: ribosomal RNA, 229 nt
Filed under: uncultured bacterium
Lineage: Bacteria
Description: partial 16S ribosomal RNA
Rfam family: Bacterial small subunit ribosomal RNA
Source: RNAcentral